GCAGGGACUGCAGUCUCUGCUUAACAAAGCCUUCACUUAAGUCUUCACCAGAAAAUACUUUUCUAUUAUGUAAAAGUUACCGAACGUAUUCAGGCAUGCAUGCAUACAUUUGUAAAUAAAGCAGGGUUUAAUGGUUUGAAAGGCAUUUCAGUUCAUCUUGAUAUGACUUUGCUAACCCUUUUCAGAAACACUGUGAUGAGAAAAGGAAAAGCAUCUCAGAAAAAAACUGAUCAGAAGUUUAGCCUAAUGAAUCAUGAUAACUGAAGGAAGGCAGGAGAAGGAAAGAGAAAACCAACCCAAACUCAUAAGAAAGCUUCCUGGAAAGAAAUUUCAGUGGUCUUAAGCCUGACUUUCAAGUACGUAAUUUUCAGGACUACCCUUGAAGCACCAUUAAAGACUGAUGCCGUGGUUGCCAUCCCUUUUUCCUCUAAGAGGAGGCUGGAAUAGAAACUGCCCAGAAGGGAUCUGCACUCUUCAAUUGUUCAGAGUGCUGUGGAGCAGAAGUACAGAUUGGCAAGAACUGGCAGAAAAGAUGCUGCCCAGAAACCAAGUGCUCUUCAAGCAUUCUCAGCACAUUGGCAAGGUUCCUGAAGCAGCAUAUCAGAGCAAAAUAAACUCAAAGCCAAAAAUUAAACCUGAGAAAUACAGUCAACUGCUCUUACUAUUUGUGCUCAAGAAGAUGACCUUCUAG
This 691-nucleotide long non-coding RNA is filed under the name Zonotrichia albicollis (white-throated sparrow). RNAcentral's name for it is "lncRNA (ENSZALG00000002837.1)". The record is from RNAcentral. Lineage: Eukaryota; Metazoa; Chordata; Aves; Passeriformes; Passerellidae.